GAUGAACGCUGGCGGCGUGCCUAAUACAUGCAAGUCGAGCGACAGACGAGGAGCUUGCUCCUCUGACGUUAGCGGCGGACAGGUGAGUAACACGUGGAUAACCUACCUAUAAGACUGGGAUAACUUCGGGAAACCGGAGCUAAUACCGGAUAAUAUAUUGAACCGCAUGGUUCAAUAGUGAAAGACGGUUUUGCUGUCACUUAUAGAUGGAUCCGCGCCGCAUUAGCUAGUUGGUAAGGUAACGGCUUACCAAGGCAACGAUGCGUAGCCGACCUGAGAGGGUGAUCGGCCACACUGGAACUGAGACACGGUCCAGACUCCUACGGGAGGCAGCAGUAGGGAAUCUUCCGCAAUGGGCGAAAGCCUGACGGAGCAACGCCGCGUGAGUGAUGAAGGUCUUCGGAUCGUAAAACUCUGUUAUUAGGGAAGAACAAAUGUGUAAGUAACUAUGCACGUCUUGACGGUACCUAAUCAGAAAGCCACGGCUAACUACGUG
This 496-nucleotide ribosomal RNA is filed under the name uncultured bacterium. RNAcentral describes it as "partial 16S ribosomal RNA". It matches the Rfam family "Bacterial small subunit ribosomal RNA", at positions 28 to 507 of the family's 1533-position model. The record is from RNAcentral.